RNAcentral lists this long non-coding RNA (293 nucleotides) under Vigna radiata. RNAcentral describes it as "long non-coding RNA (VRAD_LNC012428)". Lineage: Eukaryota; Viridiplantae; Streptophyta; Magnoliopsida; Fabales; Fabaceae. The record is from RNAcentral.
CCUCACUCAACCUUUCUGUUUCUUUCUCCUCUAUCUUUUCCUCAUCUCUCUCUAUCUUAUCCUCAUCAACAACCUAAUCAAUUUGUGUCUCCAAAUUUCUGAAGGUAACUUCAUAGCUCUUAGAAUCGUAUUUCUCCAAAAAUUUGUCAAACUUUUAAUUAAAGCUCUUGACUUGUUCCGUCAAAUCAACUAUCUGAUAACAUAGUUGUUGAUUGUCCUCCCACAUUUCUGUUGGUAAAGAGAGUUGUUGUCGUCGUAAACAUUGUUCAGCUUCCCUUAACGUUUCUUUUCGC